GACGAACUGUGCAAACGUUGCUCGGAAUCAUUGGGCGUAAAGCGCACGUAGGCGGCCUCAAAAGUCGGAUGUGAAAUCCCGUGGCUCAACCAUGGACGUGCAUUCGAAACUGCGAGGCUUGAGUAUGGAAGAGGGUCGCGGAAUUCCCGGUGUAGAGGUGAAAUUCGUAGAUAUCGGGAGGAACACCAGUGGCGAAGGCGGCGACCUGGGCCAAUACUGACGCUGAGGUGCGAAAGCGUGGGGAGCAAACAGG
RNAcentral lists this ribosomal RNA (253 nucleotides) under uncultured bacterium. Its description in RNAcentral is "partial 16S ribosomal RNA". It matches the Rfam family "Bacterial small subunit ribosomal RNA", at positions 524 to 776 of the family's 1533-position model. The record is from RNAcentral.